UGGGCGUAAAGGGAGCGCAGGCGACCUGUGUGUGUCAGGUGUGAAAGCCCAGGGCUCAACUCUGGACUGCGCCUGAAACUGCACAGCUUGAGACUCGGAGGGGUAUCCGGAAUUCCAGGUGUACCGGUGAAAUGCGUAGAUAUCUGGAGGAACACCAACGGCGAAGGCAGCAUACUGGACGAGAUCUGACGCUCAGGCUCGAAAGCGUGGGGAGCGAAAGGGAUUAGAUACCCCUGUAGUCCACGCCGUAAACGUUGCACACUAGGUUUCGGAGCAUUCGACCGUUUCGGAGCCCAAGGUAACCUGAUAAGUGUGCCGCCUGAGGACUACGGCCGCAAGGCUAAAACUCAAAGGAAUUGGCGGGGGCCCGCACAAGCGGUGGAGCAUGUGGUUUAAUUCGAUGCAACGCGAAGAACCUUACCUGGGCUAGAAAACACGGGAAUCUGGCGGAAACGUCGGGGUGCCCUUCGGGGAACGCGUGGUUAGGUGCUGCAUGGCUGUCGUCAGCUCGUGUCGUGAGAUGUUGGGUUAAGUCCCGCAACGAGCGCAACCCUUGUCGCUAGUUACCAGCGAGUCAUGUCGGGAACUCUAGCGAGACUGCCGAUAUUAAAAUCGGAGGAAGGUGGGGAUGACGUCAAGUCAUCAUGGCCCCUAUGUCCAGGGCUACACACGUGCUACAAUGGUCGGUACAAAGGGUCGCCAGCCAGUGAUGGUGAGCUAAUCCCAAAAAGCCAACCUCAGUACAGAUAGGAGUCUGCAACCCGACUCCUUGAAGUCGGAAUCGCUAGUAAUCGCUGAUCAGCAGGCAGCGGUGAAUACGUUCCCGGGCCUUGUACACACCGCCCGUCACACCAUGGGAGUUGUUUGCUCCAGAAGUGGCCGAGCCAACCCGCAAGGGAAGCAGGUCCCCAAGGAGUGAAUGAUGACUGGG
This 931-nucleotide ribosomal RNA is filed under the name uncultured organism. Its description in RNAcentral is "bacterial SSU rRNA". It matches the Rfam family "Bacterial small subunit ribosomal RNA", at positions 555 to 1479 of the family's 1533-position model. The record is from RNAcentral.